UACGUAGGGUGCGAGCGUUAAUCGGAUUUACUGGGCGUAAAGCGUGCGCCGGCGGCCCGUUAAGACAGGUGUGAAAUCCCUGGGCUCAACCUAGGAAUUGCGCUUGUGACUGGCGGGCUCGAGUACGGUAGAGGGGGGUAGAAUUCCAGGUGUAGCGGUGAAAUGCGUAGAGAUCAGGAGGAACACCGAUGGCGAAGGCAGCCCCCUGGGCCUGUACUGACGCUCAUGCACGAAAGCGUGGGGAGCAAACAGG
RNAcentral lists this ribosomal RNA (253 nucleotides) under uncultured microorganism. Its description in RNAcentral is "partial 16S ribosomal RNA". It matches the Rfam family "Bacterial small subunit ribosomal RNA", at positions 524 to 776 of the family's 1533-position model. The record is from RNAcentral.